UACGGAGGGUGCAAGCGUUAUCCGGAUUUACUGGGUUUAAAGGAUGCGUAGAUGGUGGAGCAAGUUGUUAGUCCAUGUCAAGCUCAACUUGACGGAAUCUAGCAAUACUACUUUACUCUGAGGGCAAGAGAAGUUAACGGAAUUCGGUGUGGAGCGGUGAAAUGCAUUGAUAUAUCGAGGAACACCAAAAAAGGCGAAGGCAGUUAACUAUUUUGAUCCUGACAUUGAGGCAUGAAAGCUGGGGGAGCAAAAAGG
Molecule: ribosomal RNA, 255 nt
Filed under: uncultured bacterium
Lineage: Bacteria
Description: partial 16S ribosomal RNA
Rfam family: Bacterial small subunit ribosomal RNA
Source: RNAcentral